This is a long non-coding RNA of Homo sapiens (human), 4210 nucleotides long. RefSeq lists it as uncharacterized. The record is from RefSeq and is a predicted model, not a curated record. Lineage: Eukaryota; Metazoa; Chordata; Mammalia; Primates; Hominidae. The transcript has 6 exons.
UUGCAUUGAAGCACAUGGCCUCCUAGCACACAGACAGAGAGGAGAAAGGGCCCUUCUGCUCACACCCAGCCCACACCACAGGAGCACCUAGACCAACUCUGGUAAAUACGGGAGGGGACUACACAAGGGUGUGAACACCAGGAGGCAGAGACCAUGGGGGCCAUCUUGGAGCCUGGCUACCGCGGAUGGGAUAUGAUCAGAUGGGAAAAUGUCUUGGAUAAGAGCCACCCUCCAUCUCCUGCCAAUACCCGUGCCAGGGCACCGUGUGAGAUGGGAGUAGAGAAAAACACCUGGAGAGUCCUGCCAAUACCCGUGCCAGGGCACCGUGUGAGCUGGGAGUAGAGAAGGUAAAAACGCCUGGAGAGUCCUGCCAAUACCCGUGCCAGGGCACCGUGUGAGCUGGGAGUAGAGAAGGUAAAAACACCUGGAGAGUCCUGCCAAUACCCGUGCCAGGGCACCGUGUGAGCUGGGAGUAGAGAAGGCCUGGCUGACAGCUGCGUGCAGUCAGAGGGGUCGCUGGCCCAUCACAGUCCAUCUUCCGGUAUCAUCUGCGGUGCUGACAGCCCACGUGAGAAGCUGACAUUGGGCCUUCUACUCUUAACAUCCCUGAGUCCAGACAGAAGUCCCCACACGAGUCUGCAGAUGCUGCUGCUGAGGGCACGGCUCCAAAGGCUCCCUCAUCCACCACCCCCCCACCCCGCGAGCUCCUUACCUUCGUCUUCUUUUUCUUCAUCCUCAAGACUCUCGAUGCAAUCUGGAUGGUGGACAGGGUCUCCGCGUAGCUCCCGACCGCGGCCGAGAUGUGCGCGAUCAUGGUGGUACGGCAGUUCAUGUUCCCCAGAGACUCCCGCAGCAACAUGGCGAGCUUGCUCUCUCUGCCAAACAAAGUGAAUUAGGCUGCAUUAGCGGCCAUGCUUCCCUGUGGCCCUCAGGGCAGGGCUUCAGGCCUGCACACGGCCAUUUUGUUGUGGGUGGUGGUCCCCCCACCCUUUUUAAUGGCAUACUAAUUAGCAUCAUUUUCCAGCAUGGGGCUAUUUGUAGUUGGCAAGCACCGAGCAAGUGCUUCUAACUCCAAGAUGGAAUCUGUGCAAAGCACCUCCCUUGGCGCUUCUGUCCUGGCUGUGAUGGGAUGUUCCUGGGCGUGUGUGUCUGUGACAUUAUACAUAAUGAGGCCUGGGAAUAGAAACAAGAGGAGGGGAUCAGGAGAAAGGGCUCUGUGCCUGGUGACUCGGCUUGCUGACUGCACGUGUGGCCUUUCUCCAGGGUUUCCACACACAGACAAUCUUGCAACAAAAAGGAGUCCCCCUGCCACGAACCUGGAUUAAAGAUCGGUGGGUUUUUAAUACCUGCACAGUUCCUUUAGCCAGGAAACUGCGGCUACUUUAUUGGCAUUGUCCCUUAACUCGCAUAUUUGCACCUAGUAGCACUGAAGGAAAAGGCAUUCAUAUUCCUGAAGACUAGGGGAGAAACACAGAGAGAGGCCCAGCCAGUCACUCUAUCCACAACAGAAAGCAGCACUUCCUAUAGAGAGGCCUCCUCUGGCAACUGUGCAGGUGCUGUGCGGGGCCACUGCCCUGAGUGGUGAUAAUGAGGCCCUGGGGUUUGCAGGGAGUGUUGCUACGUCUUUGAAUAGACCUGGAGAAAUGGCUGGUUUUCUGUUCCUGUACUCGUCCCAGCAUUUUUCCUGCCUUGCUUUUAAAGGCCUCUGUUUAUUUCAUCAACAGCACUCAUACUCUCAACUGCUGCCAAAUGUCAUUGCAUCUCUGGCACGUUCCCUGAUCCUGAAGGGCUGAGGAAGCCUAUUUCCCAUGCCGCGUGCUCAUAUCUCCAUGCUGUGUCUGCGAUUCCAGAUGAGAGGAAUUCGUCCCCAUGUCCAUGUCUCAUCACCCAUCCCCUGCAAAGCUCCCUGGAGAGGGACUAUCCAGCUCAGCAGACACUAUGGGAGACUCAGGCCACUGUCAGCAGAGAGCAGACCAUUUUACACGUGACCUGCUUCUGGCCUCAGGGAGGGAAGACUGUGGGGUAAGAGCAAUAGCUUUUCCUUCUCAUCUGGGAUCAAUUAAGGUGUAAGUUUGGCGACGCUGGGCUAAAGCUCACUUCCAGAGCAAUGUAAGAAUAUACCAGGGCUUCCCUUCCAGCAAAAUGACCAGUGAUGAACGUGGCGAGGUAAGGGAUAUAGAGGAGGAGGAGGAGGAGGAGGAGCUGUGAAAGUUUAACUCCUUCAGAACGUUAUCUGUCUAGCAGAAACCCACGGACAGCCGCACUCGACGAGGAAGCCAGGCCCCAUUCCUGGCACACAUUCUUAGCAGAGACGUUGCACCUGGAUGCGUCUUGGGCUCUGUCUUCAAUAUGCGCAGUGGAGGGGACUUUUAAAUAAUUCUCAGGAAGAAAGAAACUGCAGAGCCCAAGUGGAAUUCUGGAUAUAAUGAAAUCCUGCCCCAGCCUGGUGGCUUCUCUCAGAUCUUUCCUCCCGGCUUGCCGCUUCAUCGUCUCUGAACCUCCUGUGUCUCCUUCGUGAUAAACUUGCAUUUUUAGAACAUUCCUGUGCUUUUCCAUGAGUGUGAGUGAGUGUUUCAGCUUCAAAACAUCUCAGAGCUUUUCAGGAGUGCUGCGAAGGGACUUGGUGAGUUGCCUGGAUGGCCCAAAUGUCACUCCUGCCACCUCCUUCCUGGAGAACUGCGUAGGAUGGGCAGAUGCCACUUCUCUUCUUCCUGUAUAGCCAGGACCUAACACAGUGUCCGGCAUAAAGUCGUCUUUCUAUAAGUAUUUAAAUAAGUAUCUACUGGGUGUACCUCUCCAUCACAAGAAGUCUCCAGCUUCCCAACCCUACAGCUUCCAAAGCAUCAUCUUUUCUUUUUCUUCCUAGGAGCCACAGUCAGAAUAAAACCAAAGCAGGCCAGGCACGGUGGCUCACGCCUGUAAUCCCAGCACUUUGGGAGGCCGAGGCAGGCAGAUUGUCUGAAUCCAGGAGUUUGAGACCAGCCUGGGACACAUGGCGAAACCCCAUCUCUAUUAAAAAUAUUUAAAAAAGUAGCCGGGCAUGGUGGCACACGCCUGUUGUCCCAGCUACUUGGGAGGCUGAGUCAGGAGGAUAGCUUGAGCCCAGGAGCUUAAGGCUGCAGUGAGCCGAGAUCGUGCCACUGCACUCCAGCCUGGGCAGAGUGUUUCAAAAAAAGAAAGAAAGAAAACCAAAGUAGACGAUGCUGCCUUGGGCUGGAAGGAGUGCCUAGCAUAAGGCUCACGGUCCCUCCUACGUCACAGCAGAGAGAUGCUUUCAGCCUCCCAUCACAUCCUAGAGGACAAGCCAUGACCUGCUUCGUUCUGCACAGCUCACAGUCUUCAAGGGUGGAUCACAGCAGAGACAUUUUACACCAACAUUACCAUCAGGCCCCUCCUGAUGUACAACGUUCCCCGAAGAGGAACAGUCAGAACCACUGCUGUGCCCUCAAUUUGAGGCCAAGACUCUGGCCAAGCCACUCAGACCCCGCUGUUAGCUGUGUCUGGGUUACCACCCCCAGGCUAUCCUUAUACUGAUGCUGCACAGGUACAAAGGUCUCCAGAGCAAAAAUGUUUGAUCCCAACGGGAUAUUUGAGUUAAAAGGGCGGAUAACCCUUUUAACUUGUCCGUACCAUUUGGUACGGACAAGUUAAAUACCUCUGGCAUGUAAAAAAGGUGUUUCAAAAAGGGCCACAAGCGUCAUCUCUGCUUGCCGAGGAAGCAGCCGCCUAUGUGUUAGCCUUUGGGAGGUCUUGUUACAAAGCCUAAACCUGUCCCAUCCUCAUUCCUUUGCAGUAACACACAGAAAGCCUUAUUCAAACAAAUAAGCUACCUCCGAUUGUUCAUUCAACAAGCAUGUAUUAAGAACCUAGGGUACAGGAACCCCUCCAAGGGCUUUAAUUCGGCUGACCAGUUGCUCACUUGCCUAGAAGUCUCAGUGUAUGCCUAUCACCCUGCAUCCUGUCUGGUUUAUUUUGUCCUGGAUUUUUCAUUUCUUUAUUCAAAAUACAAGUAGUUAUUACUAAGACUUAUUAAAAUGAGAUGGAAGAAUUGGAUAGACUUUCACUUUCUAUUUCAGUGGUCUCAUCUAGGAACAUAUGAGGUUAUGUGCAGUGAACAGAGUUAGCACUUUAAGACAUAAUGUCAGGAGUUCAAGACCAGCCUGGCCAAUAUGGUGAAACCCCAUCUAUACUAAAAACAAAAAAAAUUAGC